This 89-nucleotide transfer RNA is filed under the name Podospora comata. It matches the Rfam family "tRNA". From Rfam's summary of the family: Transfer RNA (tRNA) molecules are approximately 80 nucleotides in length. Their secondary structure includes four short double-helical elements and three loops (D, anti-codon, and T loops). Lineage: Eukaryota; Fungi; Ascomycota; Sordariomycetes; Sordariales; Podosporaceae. RNAcentral also lists the same sequence under 6 other names. The record is from RNAcentral.
CCCCUUGUGGUGUAGUUGGCUAUCACGUUCGGCUGUAAAUGCAAUUUAUCGAUACCGAAAGGUCACCGGCUCGAUUCCGGUCGAGGGGA